Eptesicus fuscus (big brown bat) is the source of this 477-nucleotide non-coding RNA. The record is from the annotation of a RefSeq genome assembly. NCBI's taxonomy places the organism in Eukaryota, Metazoa, Chordata, Mammalia, Chiroptera, Vespertilionidae.
AUGGCCUGGGCUCUGCUCCUCCUCAGCCUCCUCUCUCAGGGCGCAGGGUCCUGGGCCCAGGCGGCCCUCACUCAGCCUCCCUCCAUGUCCGGGAACCCGGGACAGUCAGUCACCAUCUCCUGUGCUGGAAGCAGCAAUGACAUCGGGAGUUAUAACCUUGUGUCCUGGUACCAACAGCGCCCGGGCACGGCCCCCAAACUCCUGAUUUAUGGUGUCAGCAAUCGGCCCUCGGGGAUCCCUGAGCGCUUCUCUGGCUCCAAGUCUGGCAACACGGCCACCCUGACCAUCUCUGGGCUGCAGGCUGAGGACGAGGCUGACUAUUACUGCUGCUCAUAUACCAGCAGUGGCACUCUGCACAGUGGUGCAGGCUCAUGGGGAAGUGAGACCAAAACCUCCUUGAACUCCCUCAAGUCCCUUCACUCCUCAACUCAGGCUUUCAACGCUUUCAUUUCCCGGAAGCAGUCCCUCAUUCAUUAG